This 301-nucleotide ribosomal RNA is filed under the name uncultured bacterium. RNAcentral describes it as "partial 16S ribosomal RNA". It matches the Rfam family "Bacterial small subunit ribosomal RNA", at positions 509 to 807 of the family's 1533-position model. The record is from RNAcentral.
CAGUCGCCGCGGUAAUACAGAGGGUGCGAGCGUUAAUCGGAUUUACUGGGCGUAAAGCGUGCGUAGGCGGCUUUUUAAGUCGGAUGUGAAAUCCCUGAGCUUAACUUAGGAAUUGCAUUCGAUACUGGGAAGCUAGAGUAUGGGAGAGGAUGGUAGAAUUCCAGGUGUAGCGGUGAAAUGCGUAGAGAUCUGGAGGAAUACCGAUGGCGAAGGCAGCCAUCUGGCCUAAUACUGACGCUAAGGUACGAAAGCAUGGGGAGCAAACAGGAUUAGAUACCCCGGUAGUCCAUGUCUCUUAUAC